Molecule: ribosomal RNA, 253 nt
Filed under: uncultured bacterium
Lineage: Bacteria
Description: partial 16S ribosomal RNA
Rfam family: Bacterial small subunit ribosomal RNA
Source: RNAcentral
UACAGAGGUCUCGAGCGUUAGUCGGAAUCACUGGGCUUAAAGCGUGUGUAGGUGGAUGCCUAAGUACCUUGUGAAAUCCCACAGCUUAACUGUGGAACUGCUUGGUAUACUGGGUGUCUUGAGUCACUCAGGGGCGAGCGGAACAAAUGGUGGAGCGGUGAAAUGCGUAGAUAUCAUUUGGAACGCCAAUGGUGAAAACAGCUCGCUGGGGGUGCACUGACACUGAGACACGAAAGCCGGGGGAGCGAACGGG